RNAcentral lists this ribosomal RNA (119 nucleotides) under Cyprinodon variegatus (sheepshead minnow). Lineage: Eukaryota; Metazoa; Chordata; Actinopteri; Cyprinodontiformes; Cyprinodontidae. The record is from RNAcentral.
ACUUUUUUUAAUACUUCUCUUUGCAAGCCUGUUCUCGUUUGAUUACAAAAACUAAAUGAGAUCAGGCUGGGUUAGUGGAUGAAUGGGAGACCACCUUGGAUUAGCAGGUGGUCUAAGCG